UGCAGUCGGACGGGAUUGAGGAGCUUGCUUCUCAUGAGAGUGGCGCACGGGUGCGUAACACGUAUGUAACCUACCUUGUUCAGGGGGAUAGCCUCUCGAAAGAGAGAUUAACACCGCAUAAAAUCAAUUUAUGGCAUCAUAGAAUGAUCAAAUAUUUAUAGGAACAAGAUGGGCAUGCGGAACAUUAGCUAGUUGGUAAGGUAACGGCUUACCAAGGCUACGAUGUUUAGGGGAUCUGAGAGGAUGACCCCCCACACUGGUACUGAGACACGGACCAGACUCCUACGGGAGGCAGCAGUAAGGAAUAUUGGUCAAUGGACGCAAGUCUGAACCAGCCAUGCCGCGUGCAGGAAGACGGCCCUACGGGUUGUAAACUGCUUUUGUACCGGAAUAAACCUUUUCACGUGUGAGAAGCUGAAUGUACGGUAAGAAUAAGGAUCGGCUAACUCCGUGCCAGCAGCCGCGGUAAUACGGAGGAUCCAAGCGUUAUCCGGAUUUAUUGGGUUUAAAGGGUGCGUAGGUGGCCUAUUAAGUCAGGGGUGAAAGACGGUAGCUUAACUAUCGCAGUGCCUUUGAUACUGAUGGGCUUGAAUACACUUGAGGUAGGCGGAAUGUGACAAGUAGCGGUGAAAUGCAUAGAUAUGUCACAGAACACCAAUUGCGAAGGCAGCUUACUAAAGUGUUAUUGACACUGAGGCACGAAAGCGUGGGGAUCAAACAGGAUUAGAUACCCUGGUAGUCCACGCCCUAAACGAUGAAUACUCGAUGUUGGCGAUAUACGGUCAGCGUCUAAGCGAAAGCGUU
RNAcentral lists this ribosomal RNA (804 nucleotides) under uncultured bacterium. Its description in RNAcentral is "bacterial SSU rRNA". It matches the Rfam family "Bacterial small subunit ribosomal RNA", at positions 56 to 861 of the family's 1533-position model. The record is from RNAcentral.